UACGUAGGUGGCAAGCGUUGUCCGGAAUUAUUGGGCGUAAAGCGCGCGCAGGCGGUCCUUUAAGUCUGAUGUGAAAGCCCACGGCUCAACCGUGGAGGGUCAUUGGAAACUGGGGGACUUGAGUGCAGAAGAGGAGAGUGGAAUUCCACGUGUAGCGGUGAAAUGCGUAGAGAUGUGGAGGAACACCAGUGGCGAAGGCGACUCUCUGGUACGUGACUGACGCUGAGACGCGAAAGCGUGGGGAGCAAACAGG
This 253-nucleotide ribosomal RNA is filed under the name uncultured bacterium. Its description in RNAcentral is "partial 16S ribosomal RNA". It matches the Rfam family "Bacterial small subunit ribosomal RNA", at positions 524 to 776 of the family's 1533-position model. The record is from RNAcentral.